UGCAAGUCGAACGCUUCUUUUUCCNCCGGAGCUUGCUCCACCGGAAAAAGAGGAGUGGCGAACGGGUGAGUAACACGUGGGUAACCUGCCCAUCAGAAGGGGAUAACACUUGGAAACAGGUGCUAAUACCGUAUAACAAUCGAAACCGCAUGGUUUUGAUUUGAAAGGCGCUUUCGGGUGUCGCUGAUGGAUGGACCCGCGGUGCAUUAGCUAGUUGGUGAGGUAACGGCUCACCAAGGCGACGAUGCAUAGCCGACCUGAGAGGGUGAUCGGCCACAUUGGGACUGAGACACGGCCCAAACUCCUACGGGAGGCAGCAGUAGGGAAUCUUCGGCAAUGGACGAAAGUCUGACCGAGCAACGCCGCGUGAGUGAAGAAGGUUUUCGGAUCGUAAAACUCUGUUGUUAGAGAAGAACAAGGAUGAGAGUAACUGUUCAUCCCUUGACGGUAUCUAACCAGAAAGCCACGGCUAACUACGUGCCANCAGCCGCGGA
RNAcentral lists this ribosomal RNA (494 nucleotides) under Enterococcus hirae. Its description in RNAcentral is "bacterial SSU rRNA". It matches the Rfam family "Bacterial small subunit ribosomal RNA", at positions 56 to 521 of the family's 1533-position model. Lineage: Bacteria; Bacillati; Bacillota; Bacilli; Lactobacillales; Enterococcaceae. The record is from RNAcentral.